RNAcentral lists this non-coding RNA (193 nucleotides) under Myxococcales bacterium. Its description in RNAcentral is "6S RNA". It matches the Rfam family "6S / SsrS RNA". Rfam says of the family: E. coli 6S RNA was the first non coding RNA to be sequenced, but its function was unknown until recently. It consists of 184 nucleotides that fold into an extended hairpin structure with a large single-stranded internal bulge. The 6S RNA specifically associates with RNA polymerase holoenzyme containing the sigma70 specificity factor. Lineage: Bacteria; Pseudomonadati; Myxococcota; Myxococcia; Myxococcales. RNAcentral also lists the same sequence under 2 other names. The record is from RNAcentral.
UUCCCUCUGCGGAGCACGAGAGGAGCGCAGUAACGAACUCCUGACAAGCAUACGAACCCGGGACGCGAUUUCGCGGGUGGAGUGCAGGCCCGGACCUUCUCACCGGGAAGCCGGAAGCCCCGACGAGCGUCCCACCUAGCGGUGCUAGGGGUUCGGGCUACGCAACCAAACUCACGGCUCACGCGGUAAGGAA